This 449-nucleotide ribosomal RNA is filed under the name uncultured bacterium. RNAcentral describes it as "partial 16S ribosomal RNA". It matches the Rfam family "Bacterial small subunit ribosomal RNA", at positions 329 to 794 of the family's 1533-position model. The record is from RNAcentral.
GCCCAGACUCCUACGGGAGGCAGCAGUGGGGAAUAUUGCACAAUGGGGGAAACCCUGAUGCAGCGACGCCGCGUGAAGGAUGAAGUAUUUCGGUAUGUAAACUUCUAUCAGCAGGGAAGAAAAUGACGGUACCUGACUAAGAAGCCCCGGCUAACUACGUGCCAGCAGCCGCGGUAAUACGUAGGGGGCAAGCGUUAUCCGGAUUUACUGGGUGUAAAGGGGGCGCAGACGGCAGCGCAAGCCAGGAGUGAAAGCCCGGGGCCCAACCCCGGGACUGCUCUUGGAACUGCGCGGCUGGAGUGCAGGAGGGGCAGGCGGAAUUCCUGGUGUAGCGGUGAAAUGCGUAGAUAUCAGGAGGAACACCGGUGGCGAAGGCGGCCUGCUGGACGGCGACUGACGUUGAGGCCCGAAAGCGUGGGGAGCAAACAGGAUUAGAUACCCCCGUAAGC